Molecule: unclassified non-coding RNA, 210 nt
Filed under: Hevea brasiliensis (rubber tree)
Lineage: Eukaryota; Viridiplantae; Streptophyta; Magnoliopsida; Malpighiales; Euphorbiaceae
Source: RNAcentral
AGAGAGAGAGAGAGAGAGAGAGAGGAGGGCAAUAGCCUUUGGAUAGGUUCAGUCAACAAGACCAAAUGCUUAACAAGAAGCAAUUAGGAAACAAAUACAAGUGAUGACCACAUAACCAUCAUUCUCCUUGUUUGAAGUUGGAAACAGAACGAAGAACAAUGACCCCACAUCACUUGCGUAUUGAAACAAAAUUUGUGAGUUCGAAAAACA